This 492-nucleotide ribosomal RNA is filed under the name uncultured bacterium. RNAcentral describes it as "partial 16S ribosomal RNA". It matches the Rfam family "Bacterial small subunit ribosomal RNA", at positions 29 to 507 of the family's 1533-position model. The record is from RNAcentral.
AGUGAACGCUGGCGGUAGGCCUAACACAUGCAAGUCGAACGGCAGCACAGUAAGAGCUUGCUCUUACGGGUGGCGAGUGGCGGACGGGUGAGGAAUACAACGGACUCUACUUUUUCGUGGGGGAUAACGUAGGGAAACUUACGCUAAUACCGCAUACGACCUACGGGUGAAAGCAGGGGAUCGUCGGACCUUGCGCGAUUGAAUGCGCCGAUGUCGGAUUAGCUAGUUGGCGGGGUAAAGGCCCACCAAGGCGACGAUCCGUAGCUGGUGUGAGAGGCUGAUCAGCCACAUUGGAACUGAAACACGGUCCAGACUCCUACGGGAGGCAGCAGUGGGGAAUAUUGGACAAUGGGCGCAAGCCUGAUCCAGCCAUACCGCGUGGGUGAAGAAGGCCUUCGGGUUGUAAAGCCCUUUUGUUGGGAAAGAAAAGCAGCAGGUUAAUACCCCGCUGUUCUGACGGUACCCAAAGAAUAAGCACCGGCUAACUUCGUG